AAUGAUUCAUUGGUGUUUUCAUUUUUAGAGGUACUAAACGUGUGGCACAUGUUAAAUGGUUGACUGAGUACCUCAUGGACUAUCAUCAGUGCCAAGUGAAGAUUUAAGCUUUUGAAAUAUUUUAAUGUAAUUUUUAAGUACAUUAACCACAUACACUAAAAUACGCGAGCACAAUAAAUAUUUCCAGAGCUAAAUGAACAUGAUUGUGUUAAUUGGUGCUAGUGGAACAAUUUCAACAAAGCCCAGAGAAAAGCUGAGACAACUCAUUAAACAGUGUUUUGGCCACAGACGCAGUUUCAAAAUAAGUUAUUUCCCUUGUAUGCACGUUCUACACAUUAUCUACACACACAAUGUCUGCUUCAAGAAUAAUCACUCGUGUGUUCUUUAUUCAUUCAUUUAUUUAUAGGCCGAUGGGAGUUGUGAGAUACAAAUUCUUUCUUGUUUCUUUUAUCUUAAAAUAUAACACUGUUAUUUGUGUGAACAGUACACAACAUAAAUAGUGUUAUAUAAUUUGUAUAGGCAUCUGUUAUCUUUUUGACUUUUGAGGCAAAGUGGAGCAUUUGAAAUAAAAAUCUGCGUUUUGUAAGAGGAAACAAAGCACUUUGGAUAAUAUAAACAUUAUAAGAACGUUCUGAGAAAAGGAAAAUCUAUAGUGCUUUUUAUUUAAUUUUGAUUUUAUAAAACGCAGACAGGGGCCAGAAAGAUACAUACGGAUGCAAAGAUAGAAAUAUAAACAGAUAUUUUGCGGUUUUAGCAAUAUCCAUUUGCUCCAUCAACAAUUGAAGCCGACUUUAAAAUCUUGCUGGCAUGAACUCUAGGGAAUAAUAAAUUUCCCUGUCUUUUAUCAAAGAACAUAUUAGUUAUGACUGUACUAAACUGUACAAGGAAGACGAAAACUUGGAGUGUUUAUAAGAUGUAAGGAGUACAGGAUGUACUCAACCUUCAGCUCCAGUUGAUGUGGACAUCGCACUCACACUGUUGUCUACACUGUGUAUCGCCAUGGAGACAGCUUUCCAAAUAUUCUCUUUUCUAAUAAUAUUUAGUUUACAGAAGCUGGCGUUUUCUUCUUGCAAUACAAGGGGAAAGGUGAACGUCGGUGAAAUAUUAUCUCAAAACGAAGGCAGUUUUUUAAAUAUUAGUUAUCUUCUCAAUGUUAGUGAAAACUCAAUAUCUACAGACGCAGCAUAUCUCAGUGUUGACGUGUGCCAAAAAAGCAACAGAUCACCUCUGUGCAAAUUUAUAAGGCUACAGCAGUCUCAGGACUUCACUGUGAAAUAUAAUGAUGUCAGAGAUGACACACUGUGUGUAGCAGAGCUUCGCUACAUCACCAGCUCCAUGAGGACCUGGGAGAUAAAGAUUUCACAGCUGCUCACUCGGUCCAUCACUGCUAUAUAUCUCGACAUUCAGAACAAAACUCUACACAGACAGACAGUGCUGCAGAUACCCAUUGAUGUGACAUACCCAUCCAAAGUCACAAAUCUGACCGUAGACGGACAAGAAGUGAAUAAUACUCAUCACAUUAACGAGGGUCAGGAAGUCAACGUCUGCUGCUCUUUUAACAGAGGAAAUCCUCCUGCUGUCUUCAGUCUCUUAGACAUAAGUGGAAAGGAUAUUGCUCAUAAAGUGGAUAAAAACGCAAUAAAAAUGGAGAGGGGUGAAGAGCAUCUAAAGGUUUCUCUGUCAGUCAGAUGUCAAGACGACUGGCCGACAGUCCGUUGUGAAGGAAACGGGUCGGAAAGAAAUAGAUCGGUGUCCUUUCUUGUGAGAUGUGCUCCUCAGUUUGUUGACGGUCCUGUCACAUUUGUAUCCUCAGAAUUGGAGAAAGUAACAUUUCGUGUAAAAGCACACACAACAAUAUUCAAGGAAUGUUUCCUGACACCGACCCCGUCACAGGAUACAUUCAUACCGAUGGUGAAAUGCAACCUGAGUGGAGAGCCUCCUAAUCUGUUGUUGACGCUUCAUCCGGAAGAAAACAUUACCCAAGGAAUCUGGAAAAUAACUCUUGGCAAUGAAAUAGGUUCUACCAACACAACAGUGAACAUCGCUGAAUAUACUAUGUCUGAGACGACAGCUCCAAGUGUAGAGUCAGUGUCUGAGACAACAACCCAGUGUGUAGAAUCAGUCGGUGUAUUAACAAUCGGCCUCUCGUGUGGUGGUGUCUUGCUUGUCGCUGUUAUUGCCAAUGUCGUCGUUUGUCUAAAAAUAAGGACCAGGGAACAUAAAAACGGUAAGUUUAUGUUAUAUAAGAUUGCGGUCUGCUAUUUAUACUUGUCAUAAAAGUUGUCAUGACAGAAUUCAUAUAAAGUUUGUAAUACGUUUAAACAUUAAUUACCAUCCAUCAUUUCAUUUUUUUUUUUGGUUCUUUACCCCGGGUCUUAGCGUCGUUGUAUUAUUAGAAAAAAAGUAUAUCGAGAAAGCGUUUUGAAGAAAGACAGAAAAUGCUAAUGGCUGAUUACACUUUUACUCGGGUCACCUCCGUCUACUGCCGAAAUUUUCGAAUAUCAAGACAAAACUGAGCUGGUCUAACAUUUAGAUGUUGUUUAUGUGUCUAAGAAUAUCUUUUACCCUACCUCAUAGAUAAUAUUUCAUGAGUGAACUUUUAUGUUAGUGAAUCCCAAGUUUCUUCGUUUGGCUUCUCGUGAAUUGCAUCGUGUGAUAUUUCGCUAUACAGUUUCGUUGUGAUCUACCCCAUCGUGUUUUAAAAAUGUCGUGUCUGGUUUUGUUAGCAUUUAUUUUACUCCAGGCCUGCAGUUUGCAGUUCCACCAUUUGGAGCAGCUUGCUUUGUGUUGAAAGCAGGGCACAGCCCUGACGAUUAUUUAUUUGUAUUUGGAUGCGAAAUAAAGCUUUGGGUGUGUGUUGUGUGUUUACAGUCACUUUUUAUGUACGUAAGAAAACAGAUUUCUAUCGUUCGGUGCAAUUUUGAAGAAAAAACUGACUUGACCUCGCGUUGACACUAACGUCUUCAUUACGUGAUUGCGUCGCGAAUCAGCGCGUGUCGUCACAACCACGUGACCGAGUGUUUUCUGGAUAAUGGAAUUCUGGAAACAACAAUCAGCAUGCAACAAGUGACUUUGCUAUCGUAAGAUUUGAACAUACUGUGUAAAUAAACAUAUUUGCAUUGAAACACAAGUCCUUUCUUUCAUGCAGCUUACCUACCUGUUGGUCAUGCGCUUAUCUUCUGCUCUGAGCAGUUCACGCAUGCAGUUGUUUGUGUGAUUUAGGGUCGGUUGUCCCUGAAUUGAUGAGUGCAUGUACAUCCAUCAAUUUUUCUGCAAAGGAGUAUGAGCUGUAUAAGAGUUUUGCAUGUAAAAACAUAGAUAUAUCGGCUUUCACGCUUGCUUAUGAGGAUUACUCUACUUUUGCUGCAAAUUCUGUUUAGGACCACAUAUUGUGCCAAAAUUUUCUUAAAGAAAGAUCUUCAGUCUGUACAUUUUCUUUACUUACUUCUCACAAUGUAUUAUGACAAAAUCCUUAUAGUAACUCUUUAGAUAUCAUGCUACAAAAGUUUGAAGUUUUUCCCUUAAACCAUAUUGGACUCAUUUCUUUUUAAAAACAAAAUUACUUAUUUACUAUUCGUCUUAUUGAUUAAUAAAUUAGAUUUUAUCAGUUUACUUUAUAGUAUUUGUUUGAAAAAAUCAAUUCUUGUCUCUAUGGUGAUCCUUGAAACAUUAGGAGAUAGAAAUGACAGUUUGAUAUAACUUUAUUAAUAUCUCUAUUUGUAUUGAUACUUUAUAAGUUUAUAUGAUUGCACAAGCUUGUUUAACCCACAAAACUUAUUGCUUUCUUUCCUUUCCGUACAAAUCUUUCACGAAAACUAAGCAAAAUAGGGUUCUGCAUGUUGAAUUCAUGAUGCACGUACAUUCUGUGUUCUCUCAAAAUCGUUUCCAUGUCCUUGCGGUUUUACCAGUUACCUGCACAAUGAGUGUGGCUGCUGUUCUCAUACUGCCAGUCUCUUUAGCUUAACCUGAUCCUUGUCCUGGAUUGUUCUGUAUGUUUUCUUUACCUGUUUACAUUUACUUAACAGCCCGGUUUAAAAUAUGUAUUAUUAUUAUCAUUUGAAUUAAAUUUUAUUUGGCCCUUUGGAAAAAAUACAUUAUUUCUUGGAUUUUUUUUAAAGGGUCAGGUAAAUAAGAAGCAAAAGUGUCUGACAGUUGUAUAGCUAAAAUAAUCACAUUUGCUAACCUACAACAGCUGAAAGCUAUCCUUAGAAUUUAGACAUUUAGAUUCUUAGUAUUAGGCUGAAUCGUAUACAAUUUCCUAAUUUCCUAUAAGUCAAAUAUCUUGGUAGGAUUGACUAUGUAUCGUGGGAAUGAAGUACUGAAGUGGGAGAGGAACCAAAGAACCCACAAAAAUAACGGGGAUUCAGCUUCAAAUGCAAGUGACACUCCUGUUGC
Molecule: unclassified non-coding RNA, 4395 nt
Filed under: Pomacea canaliculata
Lineage: Eukaryota; Metazoa; Mollusca; Gastropoda; Architaenioglossa; Ampullariidae
Description: uncharacterized LOC112569622, transcript variant X8
Source: RNAcentral